This 440-nucleotide ribosomal RNA is filed under the name uncultured bacterium. RNAcentral describes it as "partial 16S ribosomal RNA". It matches the Rfam family "Bacterial small subunit ribosomal RNA", at positions 338 to 795 of the family's 1533-position model. The record is from RNAcentral.
CCUACGGGUGGCAGCAGUGGGGGAUAUUGCACAAUGGGGGGAACCCUGAUGCAGCGACGCCGCGUGGGGGAAGAAGCGUUUCGGAGUGUAAACUCCUUUUAGCAGAGAAGAUAAUGACGGUAUCUGAAGAAUAAGCACCGGCUAACUACGUGCCAGCAGCCGCGGUAAUACGGAGGAUCCGAGCGUUACCCGGAUUCACUGGGUUUAAAGGGAGCGUAGGCGGGAUGGUAAGUCAGUUGUGAAAGCCUACGGCUUAACCGUAGAAUUGCAGUUGAAACUGGCAGUCUUGAGUACAGGAGAGGUAGGCGGAAUUCGUGGUGUAGGGGUGAAAUGCGUAGAGAUCACGAAGAACACUGAUUGCGAAGGCAGCUCGCUGGACUGCAACUGACGCUGAGGCGCGAAAGUGUGGGUAGCAAACAGGAUUAGAUACCCUUGUAGUC